GUAACUGUUGCCCGGGGGCCCGACGAUAGAGGAUGAGGAGCAACACAGACCAUCCAAAGGGGAACCUUGUAACCAUAGCGACCAACGGCAAUCUUUGACACAUCAACAGGUUGGGGAAUUAGUCCUUCAGUUGUGGCUGUUUUUUUUUUUUUUUAUCAGAGCUUUAAAAUGGAUCCCUAUUCCCUAUGUAGUGCACUUCUUUUGACAGGGGUCCAUAGGGUCGUAGUGCACUUCUUUUGACAGGGGUCCAUAGGGUCGUAGUGCACUUCUUUUGACAGGGGUCCAUAGGGUCGUAGUGCACUGCAUAGGGAAUAGGGUGCUAUUGCAGGAUACACUCAGAAAGACCGGGCCCUUGGUCAUCAGUAGAGUUAUAGCCAUCCUUAUCCCAGCCAGAACGGCCCGUAGUCCAAAGUAGUGCACUAUCAAGGGAACGGGAGCCAUUUUGGAACGCCAUUGUUGUGCUGUAUCAGAUGUGACUGUAGUCCAGUCCAGUCCGUGUAGAAUUCACCUAAUGCAUCGGGAUCAAGCCCCUUGUUGCUGUUUCUAAGGUUACGGCGGCGUCCCAAAUGACAUCAUAUCCCCUAUACAGGGUACGCAUACCUAUCCAAUACUUGUGAUGGAAAUUCCACCGGGAGGUCAAUCCCAUCCCAUCAGACACCACGGUUUUGGGUCCGGGUCUGUACAGAUUAGGAUUUAAAUGUGUCCAUAGUCAGUUAGUUAGUCCCGUUCUCUCUAUAUACCCCCCCAGUCAUGUAUUUUAAGAUAUAGACCCAGAUAAAACUCAUUCAGUCUGUCUCUAGUUGUUAAGAUAUAGACCCAGAUAAAACUCAUUCAGUCUAUAGACCCAGAUAAAACUCAUUCAGUCGGUCUCUAGUUAAGAUAUGGGCCCAGAUAAAUCUAAUUCAGUCUGUCUCUAGUUGUUAAGAUAUGGGCCCAGAGGUCGACUGAUGUUUAGCACAGCUCUCUUUGAGAGACUUUUUAAAAUCCAUUUUUAGGUUAAAAGCUAAACUGACCUAAAUUCAGUGUCUUGGGGUGUCUUCAGUGGACGCUAACCCUGGUCUAGAAGGGCUGCUGUGUGUGUGUGUGUGUGUGAGCAGGUUUUUAACACACAUCAUUCAGCUAACCAAAGUCUUGAUGAUUGUGAUUAAACAUAAAAGCAGGUGUGUUAGUGCUGGACUGGAACAGGGGACCAGGGUUGGCCAGCCUGGUCCUACAUGGUCUGAACAUAAGCACAUGUGAUGUGAGAUUCUUCUUCCCCAGGAGCUUUUCAUUGAUCAUCGGGAGGCUAUGAUAGAAUCAGAACUCUCGUUCUAUGGAGAGAAUUAGAAUUCUGUUGGUGAGAGUUCCGUUCACUCCAUUCUGGAAGCCUCUGCUGCUACACAACCCGGUUGUGUUCUGUUCUGUCACACUUCUCUCUCUUGUCUGCGAGGAAGAUUAUACUGUUCAUUCAAAUAUUCUCUAUUGAAUUUAAAAAAGGCAAUAUUUUAACUUGAUCAAUUACCGGAGAUGAUAUGAUGUAGAAAUUAAUAAAAGUAUUUAAAAAUGUAAAAGACAAUUGCAUGUCUGUUUUGUGUGCGUUUCCAUUGUAAAUGAAUGUCUUAUCUUUAAAAAAUAUAUUAAUUCCACUACUGUUUAGAUAAUACAUUAGCUUCCAUGCCAUGCUGUUGACUUCAAGCAAAGAUAUCAGGCAGGAUAAGGUGGUUGUGGAGGCGUUUAGCCCGAUGUUAAGGAGGGAGGGGGGUGUUUAAUCCUCUCUCUCACUGUGUUGGGUGGGAAGAGAACAACAGAUGAACAGAGAGAGAGAUUUUAAUGAUUUUCCGACCUGCAAUAUUUGAUAAUGUACAGUAGUCUACUGUAGUGUAUAUCUGUUUCUCUGAUUUUAAGGCUGCACGUCCUAAAUUACACCCUAUUCCCUAUGGAUCCUGGUCAGAAUCAGUGCGCUACAUAGGGAUUAGCGUGCUGUUUGGGGGAAACGGAAUGAAGACACCACUUUAGACACGGCUGCCGUCACAGACUGUCAACCAAGGUGGCUGUGAUGUCAUCUCAGUCCUGUGUAGUCUACACACAUCAGGGGAACGUUUUAAUAGUUAACAGAGUAUUAAUCCCAGAUUUAACCACUAGCCAUGUGGCUCACAUAGUGUGCCUCCCUAAAUGGGCCCCUAUUCCCUAUGUAGUACACUGGACCCUGGUCAAAAGCAGUGCACUACAGGGAUUAGGGGGGCAUAUGGCUCCCGUACAGUAGACUACUGUACAACUGGACAUUUGUAGGAUUAUCUCUGUGUUAAUAUAUAUAUAUAUAUAUAUAUAUAUUAUCAAUAUUUAUCUACACUGAACAUGUCAAUGCAAAUGUAAAAUGCAAUAAAAUAAAAAUUCCCAGAUAUUUUC
Long non-coding RNA from Oncorhynchus keta (chum salmon), 2385 nucleotides. RefSeq lists it as uncharacterized. The record is from RefSeq and is a predicted model, not a curated record. The transcript has 2 exons. Lineage: Eukaryota; Metazoa; Chordata; Actinopteri; Salmoniformes; Salmonidae.